RNAcentral lists this ribosomal RNA (777 nucleotides) under uncultured Neocallimastigales. Its description in RNAcentral is "partial large subunit ribosomal RNA". It matches the Rfam family "Eukaryotic large subunit ribosomal RNA", at positions 22 to 644 of the family's 3401-position model. Lineage: Eukaryota; Fungi; Neocallimastigomycota; Neocallimastigomycetes; Neocallimastigales. The record is from RNAcentral.
GUACACGCUGUGACUAGCAUAUCAAUAAGCGGAGGAAAAGAAACUAACAAGGAUUCCCCUAGCUAACGGCGAGUGAAGCGGGAAGAGCUCAAAUUUGAAAUCUUAAAGGGUUUCCCUUUACGAAUUGUAGUUUAAAGAAGUGUUUUCUGUUGAGGUUUUGGUAAAAGUUCUUUGGAAUAGGACAUCAUAGAGGGUGAGAAUCCCGUAUUUGACCUUUACUUUCAACUUUGUGAUACACUUUCAAAGAGUCGGAUUGUUUGGGAAUGCAGUCCAAAAUGGGUGGUAAAUUUCAUCUAAAGCUAAAUAUUGGCGAGAGACCGAUAGCGAACAAGUACCGUGAGGGAAAGAUGAAAAGAACUUUGAAAAGAGAGUUAAACAGUACGUGAAAUUGUCAAAAGGGAAGCGUUUGACACCAGUGUUGUUUUUCUGAAAAUCAAUUAAAGAACUGUUUAUGCUAAGUUGUUUAGACUUUAUCAGCUAUCUGUUUAGUUUUGAGCUUUUCUUUAAUGCACUUUUCAGGUUAACAAGUCAACAUCAAUUUCUUUUGCUGUAAAAAAGCUUGAGGAAGGUGGCUUGAGAUUCGUCUUAAGUGUUUAUAGCCUCUUGCCUAUGCAGUCGGAGAGAUUGAGGUCUGCAGCGUAGAUUCCUUCGGGGCUAAAUGCAUUUGUGCUAAGUUAUAGCAUUUUAUAGACAACUUGUUGACUAUGAUUUGUCUUGUAGCUUACUCGCUUAUGUUAUUUUACCUACGCUUAGGAUGUUGACUGAUAUGUAGUCGUA